This 283-nucleotide ribosomal RNA is filed under the name bacterium. RNAcentral's name for it is "partial 16S ribosomal RNA". It matches the Rfam family "Bacterial small subunit ribosomal RNA", at positions 50 to 332 of the family's 1533-position model. The record is from RNAcentral.
UAAACAUGCAGUCGAACGGUAGCACAGAGAGCUUGCUCUCGGGUGACGAGUGGCGGACGGGUGAGUAAUGUCUGGGAAACUGCCUGAUGGAGGGGGAUAACUACUGGAAACGGUAGCUAAUACCGCAUAAUGUCGCAAGACCAAAGAGGGGGACCUUCGGACCUCUUGCCAUCAGAUGUGCCCAGAUGGAAUAAACUAGUACGCGGGGUAACGGCCCACCCAGGCGAAGAUCCCUAGCUGGUCUGAGAUGAUGACCAUCCACACUGGAACUGAGACACUGUCU